This 497-nucleotide ribosomal RNA is filed under the name uncultured bacterium. RNAcentral describes it as "partial 16S ribosomal RNA". It matches the Rfam family "Bacterial small subunit ribosomal RNA", at positions 28 to 507 of the family's 1533-position model. The record is from RNAcentral.
GAUGAACGCUGGCGGCGUGCCUAAUACAUGCAAGUCGAGCGAACAGAUAAGGAGCUUGCUCCUUUGACGUUAGCGGCGGACGGGUGAGUAACACGUGGGUAACCUACCUAUAAGACUGGAAUAACUCCGGGAAACCGGGGCUAGUGCCGGAUAACAUUUAGAACCGCAUGGUUCUAAAGUGAAAGAUGGUUUUGCUAUCACUUAUAGAUGGACCCGCGCCGUAUUAGCUAGUUGGUAAGGUAACGGCUUACCAAGGCAACGAUACGUAGCCGACCUGAGAGGGUGAUCGGCCACACUGGAACUGAGACACGGUCCAGACUCCUACGGGAGGCAGCAGUAGGGAAUCUUCCGCAAUGGGCUAAAUCCUGACGGAGCAACGCCGCGUGAGUGAUGAAGGUCUUCGGAUCGUAAAACUCUGUUAUUAGGGAAGAACAAAUGUGUAAGUAACUGUGCACGUCUUGACGGUACCUAAUCAGAAAGCCACGGCUAACUACGUG